UCUUUUAAUUGAAGGCUUGUAUGAAUGGUUGGACAAAUAUUAACUGUUUCAUAUAUAUUUAAAAUAAAAAUUUAUUUUUUAGUUAAAAAGCUAAAAUUUAUUUAAAAGACGAGAAGACCCUAUAAAUCUUUAUAAUUUAAUUAUUAAAAAUUUUUUAGAUUUUUUUUAUUAUAAUAUUAAAAAUUAUUUUAUUGGGGUGAUAUUAAAAUUUAAUUAACUUUUAAUUAUUGAUUCAUUAAUUUAUGAAUAAUUGAUCUAUUAUUAAUGAUUAAAAAAAUAAGUUACUUUAGGGAUAACAGCGUAAUUUUUUUGGGGAGUUCAUAUUAAUAAAAAAGAUUGC
Molecule: ribosomal RNA, 340 nt
Filed under: Dinera grisescens
Lineage: Eukaryota; Metazoa; Arthropoda; Insecta; Diptera; Tachinidae
Description: partial 16S ribosomal RNA
Source: RNAcentral